AAAUGGUCAUAAAAGGACCAUGACAGGUUUUAAAGAUGCUUUUGGAUGACGGUUUUGAGGUUAACCCAUAAUUCGGCCUUUGCACUCAUCAAGGUCUUGUAGUUGUCUUCCUUCUCUUGGAAAUCGGCCUGUUACCGCAUAAAUUUUUCUAGUUCAACCUGAUGUGGCCGAGAGUCUUGGACCGCAUUGUCAACUUAGCAAGGAUGGUUGAUUUUCU
This 217-nucleotide long non-coding RNA is filed under the name Prunus persica (peach). RNAcentral describes it as "long non-coding RNA (PPER_LNC003552)". Lineage: Eukaryota; Viridiplantae; Streptophyta; Magnoliopsida; Rosales; Rosaceae. The record is from RNAcentral.